Long non-coding RNA from Capsella rubella, 275 nucleotides. RefSeq lists it as uncharacterized. Lineage: Eukaryota; Viridiplantae; Streptophyta; Magnoliopsida; Brassicales; Brassicaceae. The transcript has 3 exons. The record is from RefSeq and is a predicted model, not a curated record.
UGGGGAUAAUAUUUUACAUUUAUGUGUGACUUUGGCUGCUUAGCUUCAAAGUAGGCAAGAUAAAAGAUAUGUUCUUUUUCAGGUUUCUGUGGAAAGGAAAUUGGGUUCAUUCAAGAAAAAAGCUGCAAGAUCCUUGCUUGGAUUAAAAGUGCCACGCAAUGCGAAAGAAGGAGGUCACCAAGAACGCCCUCUUCUGCAUCCAGAGACUCCUUCCUCUUGGGUGCUAAGUACUCUGCAUUUUUAUAUAAUAUGGAAAGGAACCAAAACACCCAUAU